Molecule: ribosomal RNA, 169 nt
Filed under: uncultured bacterium
Lineage: Bacteria
Description: partial 16S ribosomal RNA
Rfam family: Bacterial small subunit ribosomal RNA
Source: RNAcentral
CCUACGGGAGGCAGCAGUGGGGGAUAUUGCACAAUGGAGGAAACUCUGAUGCAGCAACGCCGCGUGAGGGAAGAAGGUUUUCGGAUUGUAAACCUCUGUCCUCGGUGACGAUAAUGACGGUAGCCGAGGAGGAAGCUCCGGCUAACUACGUGCCAGCAGCCGCGGUAAU